This 76-nucleotide small RNA is filed under the name Xanthomonas albilineans. RNAcentral's name for it is "sX9 sRNA". It matches the Rfam family "Xanthomonas sRNA sX9". Lineage: Bacteria; Pseudomonadati; Pseudomonadota; Gammaproteobacteria; Lysobacterales; Lysobacteraceae. The record is from RNAcentral. RNAcentral also lists the same sequence under 1 other name.
AUGUACCACGCGUACACUGCGGUUCCUGCGCGCUGUCCGCACCCUAGUGGCGGCUGCUCACGACGUUUUGUUAGCC